This is a long non-coding RNA of Sinocyclocheilus grahami, 487 nucleotides long. RefSeq lists it as uncharacterized. NCBI's taxonomy places the organism in Eukaryota, Metazoa, Chordata, Actinopteri, Cypriniformes, Cyprinidae. The record is from RefSeq and is a predicted model, not a curated record. The transcript has 3 exons.
GUUUUACAAUGUUUUAAUGUUAAAAUGACAACAUUUCUUGCAGUGUACCUUCUCUUGCUGUAUUCUAGAUGACUUCAAAACCCAGAUAUUCUGUCUAUGGUGGCAAAAUCAAUGAUGUUGGAUUUCACACCAACAGGAGUCUCAGAAGACUGUUUGUAUCUGAACAUUUACACUCCUUCUCAAAGAUCAGAAUCAGAUAAACUUCCAGUAAUGGUCUGGAUUCAUGGAGGGGCUCUGGUCACGGGCGGUGCUUGCACGUAUGACGGAUCCCCAUUAGUGCCCUAUGAGAACAGUUGUGAUUGUCAUUCAGUACCGACUUGGAAUGUUAGGAUACUUCAGCACAGGAGAUAAGAAUGCUCAAGGAAACUGGGGUUUCCUAGACCAGACUGCUGCUUUACAGUGGGUGCAGCAAAACAUUAAAGGUUUUGGAGGAGACCCCCAGUCUGUCACCAUAGCUGGGGAGUCUGCAGGAGAAAUCAGUGCCUCU